ACGCCGCGUGAGUGAUGAAGGCCCUCGGGUCGUAAAGCUCUGUCGGSAGGGAAGAAAUGGUYUGGGGCUGAUACCCCUUGCCCKUGACGGUACCUSCCAACGACCCACCGGAUAACUCCGUGCCAGCAGCCGCGGUAAUA
Molecule: ribosomal RNA, 140 nt
Filed under: uncultured bacterium
Lineage: Bacteria
Description: partial 16S ribosomal RNA
Rfam family: Bacterial small subunit ribosomal RNA
Source: RNAcentral